AAUUGGCCCAAUCCAUAGCCAGGUCACCACCACCACAGGAUCUUCAUAGAUGAUGAACCUGAAAAUGAUGCACCACUCAGCACUACAGAUUGUGGCUAUCAAGACCCUUUGUGUUUCUUGAUAUAAUAUGGAACUUGGCAUUUGUUUUGGUGUCUUUCUCUGUGCUUUUGACCACCCUUCAAGAACGACCCUCGACACACUUAAGGGUUUGGGUUUUUGGGUAUGCUUUGCUGAGUCUUCUGCAUGUGGGGAUUGUGUGGGCUGAGUAUCAAAGGAGUAGUCUUGAUGAUGUUGGUCGAGAGUUUAAUUUUUGUGGUGUCUUUUCGUUUUCUUCACUGUGUCGUAACAGGUAAAUUUAAUUUGAUUUUUGUUUAUUGGGGAUGUAGAAUUGAUAUUAAUAAUUUUAUUAUAUGUUUGAAUUGCUUAUUGAAUAAUUAUAAUUUUGGAUUAUUUGGUUGAUAUUUCUAUCAAAGAUUGAAGAUAAAAACUGAUAUCACGGAAGACCCUUUAAAUGAAGGCUAGUUAACUUGUUUAUCAUUGCAAGAAAUGGGUUUAAGGUUCCUGAAUGUUGCUUUUCAUGGAUCUGGUAUGCUUUUCUCUUCCUUAUUUUGAAGUGUUAUCUUGUGUAACGAAGCUCGGUUGAGUAUGAAUGAAUCCAGCUUCAAUGGUUUUCUGAACAUAUUGCUGCUUGAUAUAUUUAAACAGGAUUGAUUUUGUUAUUCUUGACUCGAUUGUGUGGAAAGUGAUAAGGAUGCUCAAUGUCAAUACUUAUCUCCUGUGUAUUUGGAUUCCCAAAGAACUUGGAAUUGUGGUUCAGCUAGUGAGUUAGUUUAUGCAGAUGAGAGAAUUAAAGACGUCCAUGUGCAUUAUCGCUUUUCCACGUGCAUUUUCAAGAAAUUGGAAUCCAUUAAUACUGUGAUUUCAUCAAUUUGGUGAGUGUUUGGAUUUUAUUGGAUUGUGAUGGUGGCCAAGCGCUUCUACAAGACUCUCCCUGCCUAUACAGUUUCCUAUGCUAUGAUUAUUGGAGAAGGAGCAUCUGAAAAUGAUAUUAAGGUUCUUCCCAAGUAUAGAUAUCGCCUGCCCAAUACUUUGGGAAAUGAUAAGAAGCAAGAGGAGGAUUGCUGCGUAUACCUUUAUAAGUACAUGGAUGGGGCUGAGUUGUGCACCCUUUCCUGCAACCACCAUUUCCACCAUAAAUGUACUAGCAAGUGGCUGCAGAUUAGUGCAACCUGCCCUCUCUGCAAACUUAAAAUUCUCAAGGGUAAAACGUUGGUCUGAACAUAGUUGAAUAAUUUCGCAGAGGGAGAUAUAGAGACAUAUCGAGCUAGUUUUCUUGGAUUCCGCCUGCUAAAUGUAUAGUAGGAAUGCAAUUUCUAUGCACAGUUGCAUCUAGCAAUCUUCUUGAAUCAAUUUUCGCUUUAUUACAUGUAAGCUACACCCGUCUUCCGUCGUCCCACACCUUGGGACAGUCCACUGAGAAAUGUGGCGGGUUGAGCCUCUCUGCAGCAUGCCAGAUGCGAUCGAGAUGGACACCACUACUUGCAGCUGCUUUCAUUUGUGAUUUCAACGCUGUAGAUCUUGUAUGCGACGGUGGAGCCAUAACCAUCCGAGGGAAUUCCC
RNA transcript from Olea europaea var. sylvestris, 1620 nucleotides. It is a transcript of the gene named E3 ubiquitin protein ligase RIE1-like, with no coding region annotated. NCBI's taxonomy places the organism in Eukaryota, Viridiplantae, Streptophyta, Magnoliopsida, Lamiales, Oleaceae. The record is from RefSeq and is a predicted model, not a curated record. The transcript is spliced from 5 exons.